RNAcentral lists this ribosomal RNA (361 nucleotides) under uncultured bacterium. RNAcentral's name for it is "bacterial SSU rRNA". It matches the Rfam family "Bacterial small subunit ribosomal RNA", at positions 29 to 419 of the family's 1533-position model. The record is from RNAcentral.
AACGAACGCUGGCGGCAGGCCUAACACAUGCAAGUCGAACGCUCCGCAAGGGGAGUGGCGCACGGGUGAGUAACACGUGGGAACCUACCUUCUGGUACGGAACAACCAAGGGAAACUCUGGCUGAUACCGUAUACGACCUCCGGGUGAAAGAUUGAUCGCCGGAAGAGGGGCCCGCGUCCGAUUAGGUAGUUGGUGAGGUAACGGCUCACCAAGCCUGCGAUCGGUAGCUGGUCUGAGAGGANGACCAGCCACACUGGGACUGAGACACGGCCCAGACUCCUACGGGAGGCAGCAGUGGGGAAUAUUGGACAAUGGGCGCAAGCCUGAUCCAGCCAUGCCGCGUGAGUGAUGAAGGCCUUC